CAGGACUUGGAACAAGUGAACAUUAUUGACUCAUUGGUGUGAUAGUCAGGGACCCACGAGGGUGAAACAGAUCCUGCUAAAAGAUGAAUGAAAGUGCCCAAGGGCAUCCAUGAACUCUGGUGAGACAGAAGGAGCAGGACCUGUGCAGUGAGCAUGGAAAUGGGAACUUUCCAUGACACACAGGCUGUGAGCGAGUUUCACUGGAACCACUCAUCUGAGAGCUCGGCCUCUCUCGUCUGUCUGUUUACCAGUUUAGACCCUCAAGGGGAAAAAACUAUUUUUGUCUCCUGUUUCAUGUCUUCAGGAACAUUUGCUAACUUAAGGCAUCAGCUGUCAGAGCUGCAGGAACUUCUGGAAACCACUUAGGCCCUCCAGCCGAGCCCGAUGUUACAGAUGAGGAAACUGAGACACAGGGAGGCUCCAAGGACACGCUGGUAGUGUCUCUGACAGCUAGCCCAGGGCCUUUCAACCUGGCGAGACAUGAAAAUCUCUGCUCCCUGUGCCAGGAGUGGCCUGAUCAUUAGAACAAGACAUUUCGAAGAAAGCUGCCUGUUUACCAUCGUGACCCCCAAACAAAACUUGAAGGAUACCAGUAACUUUUCACAUCAUUUUAAAGAAACAAAGGUUGGUGCUUUAUUUUUGCAAAGGGUAAAAUAUACCAUCAUUUUUGUUCUUUCCCCAACGCAGAAAGGAGACAGUCUACUGGACAGGAGAAAACUCUAGGGCGAGUUGCCAUUUUCAGUUUAUCCCCACGGACAUUUGAACCAAACGACUUGAGUCCUGACCCCUUCGUCCCUAUAGUCCCCCACAGUAAACGCAUCAACUCAUCACAAAUGAGCAGAGACACAUUGGUCUCCUCGGCCAGGUAGCAUCCACAUUCGCGACAGGUGUGCUCCUGCCACCAGGUCCCUGUCCCUCCCUCAGGGGUCCAGACAGGGCCGGACACAGGGGUGGCAGCAUGGUGCCGCCUUUGGUGGCGGGUAGCAGCUCUCUCACCUGUGGGCUCACCAGGCCAGGGCCGUGUCCUUCACCGAGGUGACGGAGGUCUCCUGCUGUCCCUGCAGACGCCGACGAACAGCCCUCGGUGAUAAAGGACCGGGACACGGAGCAAAGGGCCCCUGUCCCCUGCGUCCGGCCCACAGGGUGAACCACAGGCGGGUGUCCGGGCUCAGAGGCCUUCUCUCCAGCCCCGGAGCUUCUUCUGCCGGCCCCUGGGCGCCGGCUGGCCCGGGACGCGGGGCCGAGGCUUCUGAGGGAACAGGCCACCUCUCUCUGCUCCCCUUGCCGCGCCCACAGCCUGGCCCCUGGGACCCAGGACCUCUCCGCACGCCCCACCCAACCUGGCCAUGGAGCAGAAGGCGGGACAAGACCCUUGGGAGCGGCCCUUUGGCGCCAUUGGCGGUUCACAUGCGCGUGGCGGGCGGUCACGGGCACGCGCUUUCUUUGGCCGUGUGCACAGGGCCAGGAAGCGAGCCCGGCCGACCUUGGGGUCCGCCCAUGUCCGCCGCUGGAGGGAGGCCGUGCGGCCCCGAGCGCGUCCCCGCCACAGCCCGCGGGGAGAUCCCGGCCAUGGCCAUGCCAAGCUGGGCUGCUGCAGCCCCACCACCCGCCCCUCAGGGGACAGUGGGGAAACGGAGGCCAGGAGCGCCAGGGACUGGCUGGGCCCUUGAGCUGGGCAGAGGCCCCAGGACAAGAAAUAGAGCCUCCUCCCGUUUGCAUCGCGGCGUCUGUGUUUCCGUUCACUGGCUUAUUCAUCCACUCAUUCACUCAUGGCCUCACUCACUCACUCAUUCAUCCAGUCAUUCAUUCAUUCAGGCCUUCACUUGUUCCUCAUCCGUUCAUUCGUUCAGGGCCGCAGCCUCAGCAGAGCCCGCAAGGAGUGCCCAGGAUGCAGAUGCGGGCUCCUGUCCCGCUCGAGACAUCUCAGGACGUUUGUGUGGAGGGACACAAAGAGGUCCACUCGGGACACGGAGUCCAGCUCCCCGAGGGAAGAGAAGCUGGGCAGGAACAGCGUAGCGGCAGGCGUGGGGAAAAGGCUGCCGUCCUCAGGGACUGUUGGACAAGGAUCAGAGCCUGCACAGCACCCAGCCUGUGUGCGGGGAGCACAAUCACAUCCAGCAGCUCCUGCAGAAGGGCAGGAGACAAGCGGCGCCCCAGG
Long non-coding RNA from Equus caballus (horse), 2158 nucleotides. The record is from Ensembl. NCBI's taxonomy places the organism in Eukaryota, Metazoa, Chordata, Mammalia, Perissodactyla, Equidae.